ACUAAUUAUCGAGAAUCUCAAAAAGAGAUAGCAACCUGCAAUAACGAGCAAGGUGCUAAAAUGAUAAGCCAAUACUUUGGAAAAAACGUUAAACCU
This 96-nucleotide non-coding RNA is filed under the name Bizionia argentinensis. RNAcentral's name for it is "SAM-I-IV sequence". It matches the Rfam family "SAM-I/IV (S-adenosyl methionine) riboswitch aptamer". Rfam says of the family: It is found upstream of a number of genes which code for proteins involved in methionine or cysteine biosynthesis. It has been found mostly in the order Actinomycetales. RNAcentral also lists the same sequence under 1 other name. Lineage: Bacteria; Pseudomonadati; Bacteroidota; Flavobacteriia; Flavobacteriales; Flavobacteriaceae. The record is from RNAcentral.